GAUGAACGCUGGCGGCGUGCCUAAUACAUGCAAGUCGAGCGAACAGACGAGGAGCUUGCUCCUCUGACGUUAGCGGCGGACGGGUGAGUAACACGUGGAUAACCUACCUAUAAGACUGGGAUAACUUCGGGAAACCGGAGCUAAUACCGGAUAAUAUAUUGAACCGCAUGGUUCAAUAGUGAAAGACGGUUUUGCUGUCACUUAUAGAUGGAUCCGCGCCGCAUUAGCUAGUUGGUAAGGUAACGGCUUACCAAGGCAACGAUGCGUAGCCGACCUGAGAGGGUGAUCGGCCACACUGGAACGGAGACACGGUCCAGACUCCUACGGGAGGCAGCAGUAGGGAAUCUUCCGCAGUGGGCGAAAGCCUGACGGAGCAACGCCGCGUGAGUGAUGAAGGUCUUCGGAUCGUAAAACUCUGUUAUUAGGGAAGAACAAAUGUGUAAGUAACUAUGCACGUCUUGACGGUACCUAAUCAGAAAGCCACGGCUAACUACGUG
RNAcentral lists this ribosomal RNA (497 nucleotides) under uncultured bacterium. Its description in RNAcentral is "partial 16S ribosomal RNA". It matches the Rfam family "Bacterial small subunit ribosomal RNA", at positions 28 to 507 of the family's 1533-position model. The record is from RNAcentral.